CCUACGGGUGGCAGCAGUGGGGAAUAUUGGGCAAUGGGCGCAAGCCUGACGCAGCAACGCCGCGUGAAGGAAGAAGGCUUUCGGGUUGUAAACUUCUUUUAAGAGGGAAGAGAAGAAGACGGUACCACUAGAAUAAGCCACGGCUAACUCCGUGCCAGCAGCCGCGGUAAUACGUAGGUGGAAAGCGUUGUCCGGAUUUACGGGGUGGAAAGGGCGUGUAGCCGGGCUUACCAGUCAGAUGUGAAAUUCGGGGGCACAACCCCGGACCUGCAUUUGAAACUGUUGGUCUUGGGUAUCGGAGAGGCAGGCGGAAUUCCUGGUGUAGCGGUUAAAUCCGUAGAUAUUAGGAGGAACACCCGUGGCGAAGGCGGCCUGCUGGACGACAACUGACGGUGAGGCGCGAAAGCGUGGGGAGCAAACAGGAUUAGAUACCCUUGUAGUC
RNAcentral lists this ribosomal RNA (442 nucleotides) under uncultured bacterium. Its description in RNAcentral is "partial 16S ribosomal RNA". It matches the Rfam family "Bacterial small subunit ribosomal RNA", at positions 338 to 795 of the family's 1533-position model. The record is from RNAcentral.